CACGCAGGCCCGACAAUAAACGAGAAAUAUAAUGGAGGCUCGCAGACCUCAAUAAUAAUAAUCACAAGUACACACAUCACACGGUCCAUGAUCAUCCGUCCACACAUCAUACAUCACAUGUAUAAAUAAUCAUCAUCAUGUAGGACUACUAGAUAAUAAUAAAAAUAAUAAUCAACUAAACCUUUUAAUUAAUUAAUAUUUUAUGAAAUCAGGGACAUGUAGGGAAUUUCUCAAUUCC
RNAcentral lists this long non-coding RNA (238 nucleotides) under Musa acuminata (dwarf banana). Its description in RNAcentral is "long non-coding RNA (MACU_LNC007302)". Lineage: Eukaryota; Viridiplantae; Streptophyta; Magnoliopsida; Zingiberales; Musaceae. The record is from RNAcentral.